AACGCGAAGAACCUUACCUACCCUUGACAUCCUACGAAUUCUGCAGAGAUGUGGAAGUGCCGAAAGGAACGUAGAGACAGGUGCUGCAUGGCUGUCGUCAGCUCGUGUUGUGAGAUGUUGGGUUAAGUCCCGUAACGAGCGCAACCCUUAUCUUUAGUUGCCAACAUGUAAUGGUGGGGACUCUAAAGAGACUGCUGGUGAUGAACCGGAGGAAGGCGGGGACGACGUCAAGUCAUCAUGGCCUUUAUGGGUAGGGCUACACACGUGCUACAAUGGCGCGUACAGAGAGUUGCGAACCUGCGAAGGGUAGCCAAUCUCGAAAAGCGCGUCGUAGUCCGGAUCGGAGUCUGCAACUCGACUCCGUGAAGUCGGAAUCGCUAGUAAUCGCGAAUCAGAACGUCGCGGUGAAUACGUUCCCGGGCCUUGUACACACCGCGCAUA
RNAcentral lists this ribosomal RNA (441 nucleotides) under uncultured bacterium. RNAcentral's name for it is "bacterial SSU rRNA". It matches the Rfam family "Bacterial small subunit ribosomal RNA", at positions 958 to 1398 of the family's 1533-position model. The record is from RNAcentral.